AUUGAACGCUGGCGGCAUGCCUAACACAUGCAAGUCGAACGGCAGCACAGUGGAGCUUGCUCCAUGGGUGGCGAGUGGCGGACGGGUGAGUAAUGCAUCGGGACCUACCUAGACGUGGGGGAUAACGUAGGGAAACUUACGCUAAUACCGCAUACGUCCUACGGGAGAAAGCAGGGGACCUUCGGGCCUUGCGCGGUUAGACGGACCGAUGUUCGAUUAGCUUGUUGGUGAGGUAAUGGCGUCACCAAGGCGACGAUCGAUAGCUGGUCUGAGAGGAUGAUCAGCCACACUGGAACUGAGACACGGUCCAGACUCCUACGGGAGGCAGCAGUGGGGAAUAUUGGACAAUGGGCGCAAGCCUGAUCCAGCAAUGCCGCG
Molecule: ribosomal RNA, 378 nt
Filed under: uncultured bacterium
Lineage: Bacteria
Description: bacterial SSU rRNA
Rfam family: Bacterial small subunit ribosomal RNA
Source: RNAcentral